RNAcentral lists this ribosomal RNA (459 nucleotides) under uncultured bacterium. Its description in RNAcentral is "partial 16S ribosomal RNA". It matches the Rfam family "Bacterial small subunit ribosomal RNA", at positions 338 to 795 of the family's 1533-position model. The record is from RNAcentral.
CCUACGGGCGGCAGCAGUGAGGAAUAUUGGUCAAUGGCCGGAAGGCUGAACCAGCCAAGUCGCGUGAAGGAUGAAGGUGCCAAGCAUUGUAAACUUCUUUUGUCAAGGGACAAAAUCAUGCUCGAGAGCCUGUCCGUGGGUACUAGAAGAAAAAGCAUCGGCUAACUCCGUGCCAGCAGCCGCGGUAAUACGGAGGAUGCGAGCGUUAUCCGGAUUUAUUGGGUUUAAAGGGUGCGUAGGCGGACUGUUAAGUCAGCGGUAAAAGUUCGGGGCUCAACCCCGGCGUGCCGUUGAAACGGGCAGUCUUGAGAAGUCGAGAGGUAUGCGGAAUGCGCGGUGUAGCGGUGAAAUGCUUAGAUAUUACGAAGAACUCCGAUUGCGAAGGCAGCAUACCGGCGGCGAUCUGACGCUGAGGCACGAAAGCGUGGGUAUCGAACAGGAUUAGAUACCCGGGUAGUC